AAUUCACAGUGCUACAGAGGAAUGCAAAAGGGGAAUGAAGACUGGGAGGUGAAGAAAAAUCUCUCCGAGGAAACAUUGCUGAGACCUGAAGAAAUGGAAUGUGAUAACAAGCACGUGGUUUGCUGAAGAGCACGUGCGAAGGCCCUCAGAAAUUGAUUCAGUGCUCGCUAUAUCCUAGAAUGAUGCUUGAAAUUUACAUCAUCUUCAUCUCUGACCACAACUGAACAACACAGGCCAACAAGACAUUUCUAUGGAUUAUGCCCUUCUUUCUUCCUGAUAUUGAAGGCAUCCCCUGAAGUUCUUAACACAGUACUCCAGUCACUGGGAAGAAUUAGAAAUUUUAGG
Myotis myotis is the source of this 345-nucleotide long non-coding RNA. RefSeq lists it as uncharacterized. The transcript has 3 exons. NCBI's taxonomy places the organism in Eukaryota, Metazoa, Chordata, Mammalia, Chiroptera, Vespertilionidae. The record is from RefSeq and is a predicted model, not a curated record.